ACGAACGCUGGCGGCGUGCCUAAUACAUGCAAGUCGAGCGGACAGAUGGGAGCUUGCUCCCUGAUGUUAGCGGCGGACGGGUGAGUAACACGUGGGUAACCUGCCUGUAAGACUGGGAUAACUCCGGGAAACCGGGGCUAAUACCGGAUGGUUGUUUGAACCGCAUGGUUCAAACAUAAAAGGUGGCUUCGGCUACCACUUACAGAUGGACCCGCGGCGCAUUAGCUAGUUGGUGAGGUAACGGCUCACCAAGGCAACGAUGCGUAGCCGACCUGAGAGGGUGAUCGGCCACACUGGGACUGAGACACGGCCCAGACUCCUACGGGAGGCAGCAGUAGGGAAUCUUCCGCAAUGGACGAAAGUCUGACGGAGCAACGCCGCGUGAGUGAUGAAGGUUUUCGGAUCGUAAAGCUCUGUUGUUAGGGAAGAACAAGUACCGUUCGAAUAGGGCGGUACCUUGACGGUACCUAACCAGAAAGCCACGGCUAACUACGUGCCAGCAGCCGCGGUAAUACGUAGGUGGCAAGCGUUGUCCGGAAUUAUUGGGCGUAAAGGGCUCGCAGGCGGUUUCUUAAGUCUGAUGUGAAAGCCCCCGGCUCAACCGGGGAGGGUCAUUGGAAACUGGGGAACUUGAGUGCAGAAGAGGAGAGUGGAAUUCCACGUGUAGCGGUGAAAUGCGUAGAGAUGUGGAGGAACACCAGUGGCGAAGGCGACUCUCUGGUCUGUAACUGACGCUGAGAGC
This 742-nucleotide ribosomal RNA is filed under the name Bacillus subtilis. RNAcentral's name for it is "bacterial SSU rRNA". It matches the Rfam family "Bacterial small subunit ribosomal RNA", at positions 29 to 754 of the family's 1533-position model. The record is from RNAcentral. Lineage: Bacteria; Bacillati; Bacillota; Bacilli; Caryophanales; Bacillaceae.